GGUUAUUUCAGUCUUCUUGAGCUGUUCUAUUGAGGCUUGUAUAUCGUUUUCUUGUUUAGCUUCUCUUUUAGGGAUUUUAGUUUCUAAUAAACUAUCCAAUUUUUUAUUUAUUUUAGUUAUUUGAUCUUCUAGGUUUUUAUUUAAUUCUAAUAAAGCAAAAAUUAUUAGAUUGUUUUGUUUUACGCUUAUUAAGUCUGUUUUUCCUGGUGGGGUAUAAUCUGAUAAUCCUUCAGGGUUAGCUUGAAAUUGGGUUGUUUUUCUAAGAACUUCUUGGUAAAAAAGGUUGUUCAUG
RNAcentral lists this long non-coding RNA (292 nucleotides) under Solanum tuberosum (potato). RNAcentral describes it as "long non-coding RNA (STUB_LNC001900)". The record is from RNAcentral. Lineage: Eukaryota; Viridiplantae; Streptophyta; Magnoliopsida; Solanales; Solanaceae.